GGGGCCGUAGUCUAGCCUGGCUAGAGGUACAAGUACCGGCCACGAUGCCGGCCUGGGGCUAGGCCCCGUACCAGAGCGCCGGUGAGCCCGGGUUCAAAUCCCGGCGGCCCCA
RNAcentral lists this transfer RNA (112 nucleotides) under Thermoproteus tenax Kra 1. Its description in RNAcentral is "transfer RNA-Pro(GGG)". It matches the Rfam family "tRNA". Rfam says of the family: Transfer RNA (tRNA) molecules are approximately 80 nucleotides in length. Their secondary structure includes four short double-helical elements and three loops (D, anti-codon, and T loops). Further hydrogen bonds mediate the characteristic L-shaped molecular structure. tRNAs have two regions of fundamental functional importance: the anti-codon, which is responsible for specific mRNA codon recognition, and the 3' end, to which the tRNAs corresponding amino acid is attached (by aminoacyl-tRNA synthetases). tRNAs cope with the degeneracy of the genetic code in two manners: having more than one tRNA (with a specific anti-codon) for a particular amino acid; and 'wobble' base-pairing, i.e. permitting non-standard base-pairing at the 3rd anti-codon position. The record is from RNAcentral. Lineage: Archaea; Thermoproteati; Thermoproteota; Thermoprotei; Thermoproteales; Thermoproteaceae.